ACUAUUCUAUUAAUCUACUUAAAUCUCUCCUACUCCGGCUUUAAACAUAAUCGGUAUCUCCAACAAUUAGAAAUUACAAAGGCUUCAUUUGGAAUUACGGGGAGAUUGUGUUAUGUGCGGUGAGAAACGACGAUGGAAAAAUAUCAUGUUUGUCUCCGUACGUAAUAUUGUGUUCCGUAUAUUGUGGUUAGUCGGUUAUGAUAUAUUUUCUGUGAUCCCAUCGGAGAACGCAGAAACAUAUCCCGUUAUAUAUUUUUUUCAACUUCAUUCUAUUUAAUAGUGUUAGAUAGACCACAAUACCAAACUAAGCCUAAAUAGAUUAUGUAUUGCUAUAG
This 335-nucleotide long non-coding RNA is filed under the name Ananas comosus (pineapple). RNAcentral describes it as "long non-coding RNA (ACOM_LNC038651)". Lineage: Eukaryota; Viridiplantae; Streptophyta; Magnoliopsida; Poales; Bromeliaceae. The record is from RNAcentral.